AACGAACGCUGGCGGCAUGCCUAACACAUGCAAGUCGAACGAGACCUUCGGGUCUAGUGGCGCACGGGUGCGUAACGCGUGGGAAUCUGCCCUUGGGUGCGGAAUAACAGUUAGAAAUAACUGCUAAUACCGCAUAAUGACUCCGGUCCAAAGAUUUAUCGCCCAAGGAUGAGCCCGCGUCGGAUUAGCUAGUUGGUGAGGUAAGAGCUCACCAAGGCGACGAUCCGUAGCUGGUCUGAGAGGAUGAUCAGCCACACUGGGACUGAGACACGGUCCAGACUCCUACGGGAGGCAGCAGUGAGGAAUAUUGGACAAUGGGCGAAAGCCUGAUCCAGCAAUGCCGCGUGAGUGAUGAAGGCCUUAGGGUUGUAAAGCUCUUUUACCCGGGAUGAUAAUGACAGUACCGGGAGAAUAAGCCCCGGCUAACUCCGUGCCAGCCGCCGCGGUAA
This 449-nucleotide ribosomal RNA is filed under the name uncultured bacterium. Its description in RNAcentral is "partial 16S ribosomal RNA". It matches the Rfam family "Bacterial small subunit ribosomal RNA", at positions 29 to 523 of the family's 1533-position model. The record is from RNAcentral.